This 253-nucleotide ribosomal RNA is filed under the name uncultured bacterium. Its description in RNAcentral is "partial 16S ribosomal RNA". It matches the Rfam family "Bacterial small subunit ribosomal RNA", at positions 524 to 776 of the family's 1533-position model. The record is from RNAcentral.
UACGAAGGGGGCUAGCGUUGCUCGGAAUUACUGGGCGUAAAGGGAGCGUAGGCGGAUAGUUUAGUCAGAGGUGAAAGCCCAGGGCUCAACCUUGGAAAUGCCUUUGAUACUGGCUAUCUUGAGUAUGGGAGAGGUAAGCGGAAUUCCGAGUGUGGAGGUGAAAUUCGUAGAUAUUCGGAAGAACACCGGUGGCGAAGGCGGCUUACUGGCCCAUUACUGACGCUGAGGCUCGAAAGCGUGGGGAGCAAACAGG